RNAcentral lists this ribosomal RNA (841 nucleotides) under uncultured bacterium. Its description in RNAcentral is "bacterial SSU rRNA". It matches the Rfam family "Bacterial small subunit ribosomal RNA", at positions 613 to 1455 of the family's 1533-position model. The record is from RNAcentral.
CCUGGGAACUGCGUUNUGAACUGGGUGACUAGAGUGUGUCAGAGGGAGGUAGAAUUCCACGUGUAGCAGUGAAAUGCGUAGAGAUGUGGAGGAAUACCGAUGGCGAAGGCAGCCUCCUGGGAUAACACUGACGUUCAUGCCCGAAAGCGUGGGUAGCGAACAGGAUUAGAUACCCUGGUAGUCCACGCCCUAAACGAUGUCGAUUAGCUGUUGGGCAGCAUGACUGCUUAGUAGCGAAGCUAACGCGUGAAAUCGACCGCCUGGGGAGUACGGUCGCAAGAUUAAAACUCAAAGGAAUUGACGGGGACCCGCACAAGCGGUGGAUGAUGUGGAUUAAUUCGAUGCAACGCGAAGAACCUUACCUGGUCUUGACAUGUACGGAACCCUCCAGAGACGGAGGGGUGCCUUCGGGAGCCGUAACACAGGUGCUGCAUGGCUGUCGUCAGCUCGUGUCGUGAGAUGUUGGGUUAAGUCCCGCAACGAGCGCUACCCUUGUCAUUAGUUGCCAUCAUUAAGUUGGGCACUCUAAUGAGACUGCCGGUGACAAGCCGGAGGAAGGUGGGGAUGACGUCAAGUCCUCAUGGCCCUUAUGACCAGGGCUUCACACGUCAUACAAUGGUCGGUACAGAGGGUAGCCAAGCCGCGAGGUGGAGCCAAUCUCACAAAACCGAUCGUAGUCCGGAUUGCACUCUGCAACUCGAGUGCAUGAAGUCGGAAUCGCUAGUAAUCGCAGGUCAGCAUACUGCGGUGAAUACGUUCCCGGGUCUUGUACACACCGCCCGUCACACCAUGGGAGUGGGGGAUACCAGAAGUAGGUAGGGUAACCGCAAGGAGCCCGCUU